GAGUUUGAUUCUGGCUCAGGAUGAACGCUGGCGGCAUGCCUAACACAUGCAAGUUGAACGAGAAGUUCUGGAGGGAGUCUUCGGACGAACGAAGGGAUGGAAAGUAGCGAACGGGUGAGUAACGCGUGGGCAACCAACCUUACACAGGGGGAUAACACAGAGAAAUCUGUGCUAAUACCGCAUAAGCGCACAGUAUCACAUGAUACGGUGUGAAAAACUCUGGUGGUGUAAGACGGGCCCGCGUCUGAUUAGCUAGUUGGUGGGGUAAAAGCCUACCAAGGCGACGAUCAGUAGCCGACCUGAGAGGGUGAUCGGCCACAUUGGGACUGAGACACGGCCCAAACUCCUACGGGAGGCAGCAGUGGGGGAUAUUGCACAAUGGAGGAAACUCUGAUGCAGCAAUGCCGCGUGAAGGAAGACGGUUUUCGGAUUGUAAACUUCUAUCAGCAGGGAAGAAAAUGACGUACCUGACUAAGAGCCCC
Molecule: ribosomal RNA, 482 nt
Filed under: Lachnospiraceae bacterium canine oral taxon 161
Lineage: Bacteria; Bacillati; Bacillota; Clostridia; Lachnospirales; Lachnospiraceae
Description: bacterial SSU rRNA
Rfam family: Bacterial small subunit ribosomal RNA
Source: RNAcentral